AAGCAGUAUUUUUGGUUUAGAAUUCCUACGCUUUACCGUUGCCAAGUUGUUGGGCAAAGCGUUUGGAUUCUAAAACGAAAACACU
Molecule: microRNA precursor, 85 nt
Organism: Danaus plexippus plexippus
Lineage: Eukaryota; Metazoa; Arthropoda; Insecta; Lepidoptera; Nymphalidae
Rfam family: mir-927 microRNA precursor family
Source: Rfam